GAUGAAGAACGUAGCGAAACGCGAUAAGUAAUGUGAAUUACAGAAUUCAGUGAAUCAUCGAAUCUUUGAACGCACAUUGCGCCCGCCAGUAUUCUGGCGGGCAUGCCUGUUCGAGCGUCAUUUCAACCAUCAAGCCCCCCGGCUUGUGUUGGGGACCUGCGGCUGCCGCAGGCCCUGAAAAGCAGUGGCGGGCUCGCUGUCACACCGAGCGUAGUAGAUCUCAUCUCGCUCAGGGCGUGCUGCGGGUUCCGGCCGUUAAACCACCUUCAUAACCCAAGGUUGACCUCGGAUCAGGUAGGAAGACCCGCUGAACUUAAGCAUAUCAAUAAGCGGAGGA
This 337-nucleotide unclassified non-coding RNA is filed under the name soil metagenome. RNAcentral describes it as "partial contains 5.8S ribosomal RNA, internal transcribed spacer 2, and large subunit ribosomal RNA". The stretch from base 1 to 120 matches the Rfam family "5.8S ribosomal RNA", at positions 35 to 154 of the family's 154-position model. The record is from RNAcentral.